This is a long non-coding RNA of Solanum dulcamara, 418 nucleotides long. RefSeq lists it as uncharacterized. The transcript is spliced from 4 exons. The record is from RefSeq and is a predicted model, not a curated record. Lineage: Eukaryota; Viridiplantae; Streptophyta; Magnoliopsida; Solanales; Solanaceae.
GUCUUAUGACUCAUUAAUUUCCACACCUAUCUAGAAAAUUCAAGACUAACAAAACGAAAUUACAAGAGAAAGAAAGAAGAGAAGAGAAGAGAAGAGAAAUUAAGGUAGAAAGAAGGAAAGAGCUACGAUUUUGGGAGGAGAAAAAGCCCAAAACGUUAUCAAACAGCCAAUAAGUUUCAGCUGCGCUAAAGGAAAUUCCGAGGCAAGUUUUGGCGAGUUUUGGUGAAUUUCGGGAAAGGUUCAAGAGACGACGAGGUGAGCAUAGUUAAGAGUAAUCCAUAAGAGGUACAGACGAUUGGUUUGCUGAUCCGCUCGCUUAGGACAUCCACCAUGUUGGUCGACAGUGCUCCUUUGUCCGGAGCCCUAUUUUGGUACUGACACUUUCUGUUGUAUAUAUAUAUAUAAACGUUGUUCAGGG